GCCAGUGCCACUCCUUGGCAAUNCUAUUCCUUUUCUAUCAUCAAUCUCACAUAUGAUUGGAGCCAACCUAGAUCUAUAUACCAUACAAUUAUUUCCUUUCAACAAGGAAGUGGGCAGCACAUUUUUGCUGCCACAGCCAAGCUGCUUAAAUGAAUGAUGUCCCAACACACGCAUUUGGAAUCCAGAUAAUUGUGGAGAGGAGAUGAAAACAGUAUUUUGAUGUGUUCUUCCUUUGCUGCGUCUGUAGGUGCCCCUCCUACCGAAGCCAGUGGGAAGACUAUUGGUACAUGGGCCCCAAGUGUGAGUCUCUCUGGAGUACUGCAGACCUGAUUGUAGUAGCUACUCUCCCUGCCCUCGCCUUGGCUGCAAUAGCUGCUGUUACAGUGCAGUGCAUCGGCUCUUGUAAGAACAAGCCAAAGAANAGGGUGAAACACAGCAGCCCCAGCGCAAGACAACCAAGACCUCCAGGACCUUUAAACUCAAGUCACAAUCCUUACCUGGCUAAUAAGGAUGAUGGAGCACAAGAGACGAUCUUCCCCAGACUGACUCUUCAGAGCCAAUUUCAAGGAAGCUCCUUCGAACAAGUGAACCCAGAGCAUGUUGGAGGUUUUAGCAGUGCCCUACACCCACCAUUGAGAAGACUCAUUCCAAAAGAAACUGGACCCUUGACGAAUUGGUCUUCAGGAGGCAAUCAGAACGGUCCGUGGGAACCUGAGAUGCCUAAUAAUGUUUAUGAAGAAAACCCAUUUUCAGAUAUACCCAUGCGACAGUUCAAUACACCUGAUGCCUCAGUGUUCCCUCAGCCUGACUAUCAUCAGCAUGCCCCGAAUUAUUUGAAUGCUCAAAGAGGAAGCAGACCAUACGGGAUUGGGCGUGCUCAGAACAUACGCACUUAGAAGCUUUUUUAAAGCCAAGCUGGAAAAUACUGUGGAAUGGUAGCAUUUCAGCCUUAUUCCUUCACUCUGUUAAAAUUUAGCUUGUAAAGUGCUUCUCAACAGAUGAAUACCUUUGUGGCAAGUGCGUCCCCAGCCAUAUCAAGAAAUUUGAGGUGACAAUCUUCCUUACUUAGCAGUAGAAUCUACCUCCAGCCAAAGCCUCUGAAGUUCAUCAAGAUCAGCGUUUAUCAACUUACCGGUAGUUCCAGUCAUCUGAAGUUACUUUCUGUGCUGGUCUCUGCUCCAACCUGCCUUUCUUUCAUGCAGAAGGAGGUAAUGAGUACAGGCUUAAUAGAUAUAGGAUUGACGCAUUCAUGGUUUCAUGGCGCAGGUUUGCAGCAGGUUUGCAGCAGGGCAAAACUAGCAAAUAUUAAUCUUGCCACUUAAAGAAAACAAUAUGGCUUUCAGGGAAGAAGUUUUCUAAAAGAUGCACAUAGAGGAUCUCUUGGGCAUUUUUUCCCUGUUAACUUUAUCUCUGAACAAAAUUCAGUCCUGCUUUGAUUUUUCUGACUAACAAAAUUCGUUUUUGAGUUCAUCACUGUAAUCUUCCUGGAAGAAGGCAAUGGCAAACCACUUCUGUAUUUUUGCCAAGAAAACUGCUUGAUUAUGUCCAUGUAGUCAUCACAUAUUAAGCUCAAUGCGGGUGUCUUUACCUUUAAGUAACGGAUACUAUGAAUUCUAAUUAUUAAAAACUUUCAAAAGAUCAAAUACUAAGUAUUAACUGAAGCAACUGUUUGCCUUUAAGUGUCCUUUAUGAAACUUAAUAGUUUUGUCUAGUGUGA
Molecule: long non-coding RNA, 1717 nt
Organism: Salvator merianae (Argentine black and white tegu)
Lineage: Eukaryota; Metazoa; Chordata; Lepidosauria; Squamata; Teiidae
Source: Ensembl